UACGGGAGGCAGCAGUGAGGAAUAUUGGACAAUGGCCGAGAGGCUGAUCCAGCCAUGCCGCGUGCGGGAGGACGGCCCUAUGGGUUGUAAACCGCUUUUGUUGGAGAGCAAUAAGAGUUACCGUGUAACUUGAUGAGAGUAUCCAGCGAAUAAGCAUCGGCUAACU
Molecule: ribosomal RNA, 166 nt
Filed under: uncultured rumen bacterium
Lineage: Bacteria
Description: partial 16S ribosomal RNA
Rfam family: Bacterial small subunit ribosomal RNA
Source: RNAcentral